RNAcentral lists this unclassified non-coding RNA (315 nucleotides) under uncultured fungus. RNAcentral's name for it is "sequence contains ITS2". The stretch from base 1 to 52 matches the Rfam family "5.8S ribosomal RNA", at positions 103 to 154 of the family's 154-position model. Lineage: Eukaryota; Fungi. The record is from RNAcentral.
AACGCACCUUGCGCUCUUUGGUAUUCCAAGGAGCAUGCCUGUUUGAGUGUCAUGAAAAACUCAACCUGUUUUGGCUUUUUCUUUAAAAAGCUUUCAAAGCAGGCUUGGAUAUUGGGAGUUUAUGCUGGCUAUCUGAUGAUGUUGGCUCUCCUUGAAUGCAUUAGCAGGAUCGUUGUUGGUCAUUAAUUCUGGUAUGAUAAAAAUAUCUAUGCCAAUUUGAGACCGGGGUUGAUCUUGCUUUCUAAAAUUUCAAUUGUUUAAACAAUUGUUGAUAAUUUUGACCUCAAAUCAGGUAGGACUACCCGCUGAACUUAA